RNAcentral lists this unclassified non-coding RNA (332 nucleotides) under soil metagenome. RNAcentral's name for it is "partial contains 5.8S ribosomal RNA, internal transcribed spacer 2, and large subunit ribosomal RNA". The stretch from base 1 to 120 matches the Rfam family "5.8S ribosomal RNA", at positions 35 to 154 of the family's 154-position model. The record is from RNAcentral.
GAUGAAGAACGUAGCGAAAUGCGAUAAGUAGUGUGAAUUGCAGAAUUCAGUGAAUCAUCGAAUCUUUGAACGCACAUUGCGCCCUUUGGUAUUCCUUAGGGCAUGCCUGUUCGAGCGUCAUUUAAACCUUCAAGCUCAGCUUGGUGUUGGGUGACUGUCCGCUUCACCGCGGACUCGCCUCAAAAUUAUUGGCGGCCGGUACAUUGGCUUCGAGCGCAGCAGAAACGCGAACUCGGGCCCGUCGUAUUGGCUCCCAGAAGCUAUCUUCACAAUUUUGACCUCGGAUCAGGUAGGGAUACCCGCUGAACUUAAGCAUAUCAAUAAGCGUAGGA